Arachis ipaensis is the source of this 1595-nucleotide RNA transcript. RefSeq lists it as uncharacterized. Lineage: Eukaryota; Viridiplantae; Streptophyta; Magnoliopsida; Fabales; Fabaceae. The record is from RefSeq and is a predicted model, not a curated record.
CCUGUUAAACCCGGCGUAGUAAUGUACAACGCUGUUAUUGAUGGGUUAUGUAAAGAUGGGCUUGUGACUGACGCUAAGAACUUGUUUCCCAAGAUGAUUGCACUAGGAAUAUCUCCUAAUGUUGUCAGUUACAGCUCCCUUAUUCACGGUUUUUGCUGUGCCAGUCACUUAGAAGAAGCUACACAAUUGUUGAGUGAAAUGGUUAAAAGCAGCAUCAAGCCAAACAUAUAUACCUUUAGUAUAUUAAUUGAUGCUUUAUGUAAAAAAAGAAGAGCUGGAGAAGCCCAAAAGAUAUUUGAUAUGUUGUUGGAAAGUGGCCAUAAGCCUAAUGUUGUCACUUACAAUUCUUUGAUUGCUGGUUACUUUCUAAUCAAUAAAGUGAAUGAGGCAGCAAAGUUAUUUGACCGCAUGAACAAAGCAGGUUUGAUACACGAUGCUUACAGUUAUAACAUCAUGAUUCAUGGAUAUUGCAAGAACAAAAUGGUGGAUCAAGCGAUGAGUCUCUUUAAAGAAAUGCGUCACAAAAGUUUAAGUCCAGAUAGUAUAACUUACAGUACCCUUCUUGAUGGAUUAUGCAAAUCAGGGAGAAUAUCAUGCAUACAGAAUCUUCUUGAUGAAAUGCACGAAAGUGGACAACCCCCUAAUUUAAUCACUUACAAUAUAUUGUUAGAUGCUUUAUGCAAAAUCCAACAUCUUGAUGAAGCAAUUGCACUAUUUCAUAAAAUUGUUGACAAGGGGCAUCGUCCAGAUUUGUACAUGUGCACUAUUCUUUUGAAUGGUUUGUGCAAAUGUGGAAGAGUAAUGACUGCAAGUAAGUUUUUCCAGCUGCUCUUGAUCAACAAUUAUUGUCUAGAUGUUGUGACCUACAAUACUAUGAUACGUGGGCUUUCUAAAGAGGGCUUGAUUGAUGAAGCAAUGGUGUUAUUUUCAAAAAUGAAAGAAAAUAGUUGCCUUCCAAAUGCUGCAACUUAUGAAACACUUAUUCGAGCCCUUCUUGUUAGAAAUAAGAAUGAGCAAGCAGUAAAGCUUCUUCGUGAAAUGAUCAGUAAAGGUCUACUAAUGGGCAGUAGUAAUGAGGAUUCCAAGUUUAUGACUCCCCGUGAGGUGGGACAGAUUCUUGAAUGGGAAUCUCGCUCUUCCAACCAGAUGACGAGUGUCGAGUGAUGUGUAUUAUCUCGUAUUUCCAUAUCCUUAGGUUGAUAAAGAUAAGGAUUCUUUGAUAUAAUGCAAAAUAUUGAGAGGGAAUGGUCAAGUCAUAGAUGGCGAUCAAGGGUCGAUUAUACUCAUAAAGAACUGCCACUAAAAGCAUAACGUAGCAUACAAGGGACUAACCGCUGAAUACUGGCCAUAAUCUUCAACUAUUAUUUGUUUCUUUCUAGAGCAUUUUCCCUAACCUGAAGCAAGUUUAAAGGGGGAUAAAUAAUCAUAUAAAUGUUAUUUUUAGACUAUACUCUUUGUUGCUCUAUGCCUCUAUGUAACUUUAGGUCAUAGAUUGAAACUGUGAAAACGACUACUGAUAUAAUUAUCAAGUUAUGCUGUGUAUAUUAUACUUUUUGGGUGCAGUUCUUUCCUAAAUCCUGCUUUAUUUCAGUAAU